RNAcentral lists this long non-coding RNA (220 nucleotides) under Oryza sativa (Asian cultivated rice). Its description in RNAcentral is "long non-coding RNA (OSAT_LNC001230)". The record is from RNAcentral. Lineage: Eukaryota; Viridiplantae; Streptophyta; Magnoliopsida; Poales; Poaceae.
GGUGUAGUGGCCCUUGGCCCAGUUGUUGCCGGCGCCGGACUGGCCGAAGACGAAGUUGUCGGGGCGGAAGAUCUGGCCAUAGGGGCCGGAGCGGACGGAGUCCAUGGUGCCGGGCUCGAGGUCCAUGAGCACGGCGCGGGGCACGUAGCGGCCGCCGCUGGCCUCGUUGUAGUAGACGUUGAUCCGCUCGAGCUGGAGGUCGGAGUCGCCGGAGUACUUG